RNAcentral lists this ribosomal RNA (497 nucleotides) under uncultured bacterium. RNAcentral's name for it is "bacterial SSU rRNA". It matches the Rfam family "Bacterial small subunit ribosomal RNA", at positions 8 to 526 of the family's 1533-position model. The record is from RNAcentral.
AGAGUUUGAUCCUGGCUCAGGAUGAACGCUGGCGGUAUGCUUAACACAUGCAAGUCGAACGAAAUCUUCGGAUUUAGUGGCGGACGGGUGAGUAACGCGUGAGAAUCUGGCUUCAGGUUGGGGAUAACAGAGGGAAACCGCUGCUAAUACCCAAUGUGCCGAGAGGUAAAAGAUUAAUUGCCUGAAGAUGAGCUCGCGUCUGAUUAGCUAGAUGGUGGGGUAAAGGCCUACCAUGGCGACGAUCAGUAGCUGGUCUGAGAGGAUGAUCAGCCACACUGGGACUGAGACACGGCCCAGACUCCGACGGGAGGCAGCAGGAGGGAAUCUUCCGAAAUGGACGAAAGUCUGACGGAGCAACGCCGCGUGAGUGAUGAAGGCUUUCGGGUCGUAAAACUCUGUUGUUAGGGAAGAACAAGUGCUAGUUGAAUAAGCUGGCACCUUGACGGUACCUAACCAGAAAGCCACGGCUAACUACGUGCCAGCAGCCGCGGUAAUUC